CUUCCCGGGCGUCGAGCGGCGGACGGGUGAGUAAUGCAUAGGAAUCUGCCCGGUAGUGGGGGAUAACCUGGGGAAACUCAGGCUAAUACCGCAUACGUCCUACGGGAGAAAGCAGGGGACCUACGGGCCUUGCGCUAUCGGAUGAGCCUAUGCCGGAUUAGCUGGUUGGUGAGGUAACGGCUCACCAAGGCGACGAUCCGUAGCUGGUCUGAGAGGAUGAUCAGCCACAUCGGGACUGAGACACGGCCCGAACUCCUACGGGAGGCAGCAGUGGGGAAUAUUGGACAAUGGGCGCAAGCCUGAUCCAGCCAUGCCGCGUGUGUGAAGAAGGCCUUCGGGUUGUAAAGCACUUUCAGUGGGGAAGAAGGCCUUCCGGUUAAUACCCGGGAGGGGCGACAUCACCCACAGAAGAAGCACCGGCUAACUCCGUGCCAGCAGCCGCGGUAAUACGGAGGGUGCGAGCGUUAAUCGGAAUUACUGGGCGUAAAGCGCGCGUAGGCGGCGUGAUAAGCCGGUUGUGAAAGCCCCGGGCUCAACCUGGGAACGGCAUCCGGAACUGUCAGGCUAGAGUGCAGGAGAGGAAGGUAGAAUUCCCGGUGUAGCGG
RNAcentral lists this ribosomal RNA (605 nucleotides) under Halomonas cerina. Its description in RNAcentral is "bacterial SSU rRNA". It matches the Rfam family "Bacterial small subunit ribosomal RNA", at positions 80 to 681 of the family's 1533-position model. Lineage: Bacteria; Pseudomonadati; Pseudomonadota; Gammaproteobacteria; Oceanospirillales; Halomonadaceae. The record is from RNAcentral.